AUUGAACGCUGGCGGCAGGCCUAACACAUGCAAGUCGAGCGGAUGAAGGGAGCUUGCUCCUGGAUUCAGCGGCGGACGGGUGAGUAAUGCCUAGGAAUCUGCCUGGUAGUGGGGGAUAACGUCCGGAAACGGGCGCUAAUACCGCAUACGUCCUGAGGGAGAAAGUGGGGGAUCUUCGGACCUCACGCUAUCAGAUGAGCCUAGGUCGGAUUAGCUAGUUGGUGGGGUAAAGGCCUACCAAGGCGACGAUCCGUAACUGGUCUGAGAGGAUGAUCAGUCACACUGGAACUGAGACACGGUCCAGACUCCUACGGGAGGCAGCAGUGGGGAAUAUUGGACAAUGGGCAAAAGCCUGAUCCAGCCAUGCCGCGUGUGUGAAGAAGGUCUUCGGAUUGUAAAGCACUUUAAGUUGGGAGGAAGGGCAGUA
Molecule: ribosomal RNA, 427 nt
Filed under: uncultured bacterium
Lineage: Bacteria
Description: bacterial SSU rRNA
Rfam family: Bacterial small subunit ribosomal RNA
Source: RNAcentral